RNAcentral lists this ribosomal RNA (203 nucleotides) under uncultured bacterium. RNAcentral's name for it is "partial 16S ribosomal RNA". It matches the Rfam family "Bacterial small subunit ribosomal RNA", at positions 1299 to 1500 of the family's 1533-position model. The record is from RNAcentral.
UGAAGUCUGAAAUUACGACUUCAUGAAGCUGGAAUUGCUAGUAAUGGCAGGCAGCAUACUGCCGUGAAUACGUUCCCGGGCAUUGUACACACCGCCCGUCACACCAUGAGAGUUGGGAAUACCCGAAGCCUGUGAGCUAACUGUAAAGAGGCAGCAGUCGAAGGUAGAAUCAAUGAUUGGGGGUGAAGUCGUAACAAGGUACC